Small nuclear RNA from Callithrix jacchus (white-tufted-ear marmoset), 159 nucleotides. Its record names the gene U1. It matches the Rfam family "U1 spliceosomal RNA". From Rfam's summary of the family: U1 is a small nuclear RNA (snRNA) component of the spliceosome (involved in pre-mRNA splicing). Its 5' end forms complementary base pairs with the 5' splice junction, thus defining the 5' donor site of an intron. There are significant differences in sequence and secondary structure between metazoan and yeast U1 snRNAs, the latter being much longer (568 nucleotides as compared to 164 nucleotides in human). Lineage: Eukaryota; Metazoa; Chordata; Mammalia; Primates; Cebidae. The record is from Ensembl.
AUUGUUACCUGGUAGGGAGAUACCGUGAUCACAAAGUGGUUUUCCCAGGGCGAGGCUUAUCCAUUGUACUCCAAUGUGUUGACCCCCGCGAUUACUUCAAAUGUGGGAAACUAGACUGUACAACAUGUGGUAGUGUGGACUGCAUUCUCGCUUUCCCCU